RNAcentral lists this ribosomal RNA (253 nucleotides) under uncultured bacterium. Its description in RNAcentral is "partial 16S ribosomal RNA". It matches the Rfam family "Bacterial small subunit ribosomal RNA", at positions 524 to 776 of the family's 1533-position model. The record is from RNAcentral.
UACGAAGGGGGCUAGCGUUGCUCGGAAUCACUGGGCGUAAAGGGUGCGUAGGCGGGUCUUUAAGUCAGGGGGGAAAUCCUGGAGCUCAACUCCAGAACUGCCUUUGAUACUGAGGAUCUUGAGUUCGGGAGAGGUGAGUGGAACUGCGAGUGUAGAGGUGAAAUUCGUAGAUAUUCGCAAGAACACCAGUGGCGAAGGCGGCUCACUGGCCCGAUACUGACGCUGGGGCACGAAAGCGUGGGGAGCAAACAGG